Molecule: transfer RNA, 91 nt
Filed under: Xanthomonas phage XbC2
Lineage: Duplodnaviria; Heunggongvirae; Uroviricota; Caudoviricetes
Description: tRNA-Leu
Rfam family: tRNA
About the family: Transfer RNA (tRNA) molecules are approximately 80 nucleotides in length. Their secondary structure includes four short double-helical elements and three loops (D, anti-codon, and T loops).
Source: RNAcentral
GCGGGUGUGGUGGUAUUGGCAGUACACAAGAGACUUAAAAUCUCUCGAACCUUUGGUGGUUCUACGAGUUCGAAUCUCGUCACCCGCACCA